ACAGAGGGUGCAAGCGUUAAUCAGAAUGACUGGGCGUAAAGGGCGUGUAGGUGGUUGACUAGGUUUGAUGUGAAAUCCCCGGGCUUAACCUGGGAAUGGCGUCGAAAACGGGUUGACUAGAGUGAGAGAGAGGGUUGUGGAAUUUCCGGUGUAGCGGUGAAAUGCGUAGAUAUCGGAAAGAACAUCAGUGGCGAAGGCGACAACCUGGCUCUUAACUGACACUGAGGCGCGAAGGCGUGGGGAGCAAACAGG
Molecule: ribosomal RNA, 252 nt
Filed under: uncultured bacterium
Lineage: Bacteria
Description: partial 16S ribosomal RNA
Rfam family: Bacterial small subunit ribosomal RNA
Source: RNAcentral